AUAUACUCGGGCUCUUUUGGGUGAAAGCGGCGGACGGGUGAGUAAUGUCUGGGAAACUGCCUGAUGGAGGGGGAUAACUACUGGAAACGGUAGCUAAUACCGCAUAACGUCUUCGGACCAAAGAGGGGGACCUUCGGGCCUCUUGCCAUCAGAUGUGCCCAGAUGGGAUUAGCUAGUAGGUGAGGUAAUGGCUCACCUAGGCGACGAUCCCUAGCUGGUCUGAGAGGAUGACCAGCCACACUGGAACUGAGACACGGUCCAGACUCCUACGGGAGGCAGCAGUGGGGAAUAUUGCACAAUGGGCGCAAGCCUGAUGCAGCCAUGCCGCGUGUGUGAAGAAGGCCUUCGGGUUGUAAAGCACUUUCAGCGGGGAGGAAGGCGGUGAGGUUAAUAACCUCAUCGAUUGACGUUACCCGCAGAAGAAGCACCGGCUAACUCCGUGCCAGCAGCCGCGGUAAUACGGAGGGUGCAAGCGUUAAUCGGAAUGACUGGGCGUAAAGCGCACGCAGGCGGUUUGUUAAGUCAGAUGUGAAAUCCCCGAGCUUAACUUGGGAACUGCAUUUGAAACUGGCAAGCUAGAGUCUUGUAGAGGGGGGUAGAAUUCCAGGUGUAGCGGUGAAAUGCGUAGAGAUCUGGAGGAAUACCGGUGGCGAAAGCGGCCCCCUGGACAAAGACUGACGCUCAUGUGCAAAAGCGUGGGGAGCAAACAGGAUUAGAUACCCCUGGUAGUCCCACGCUGU
This 740-nucleotide ribosomal RNA is filed under the name Pectobacterium carotovorum subsp. carotovorum. Its description in RNAcentral is "bacterial SSU rRNA". It matches the Rfam family "Bacterial small subunit ribosomal RNA", at positions 69 to 803 of the family's 1533-position model. Lineage: Bacteria; Pseudomonadati; Pseudomonadota; Gammaproteobacteria; Enterobacterales; Pectobacteriaceae. The record is from RNAcentral.